UACAGAGGUCUCAAGCGUUGUUCGGAUUCAUUGGGCGUAAAGGGUGCGUAGGCGGCGCGGUAAGUCGGGUGUGAAAUCUUGGAGCUUAACUCCGAAACUGCAUUCGAUACUGCCGUGCUUGAGGACUGGAGAGGAGACUGGAAUUUACGGUGUAGCGGUGAAAUGCGUAGAUAUCGUAAGGAAGACCAGUGGCGAAGGCGGGUCUCUGGACAGUUCCUGACGCUGAGGCACGAAGGUCAGGGUAGCGAACGGG
RNAcentral lists this ribosomal RNA (253 nucleotides) under uncultured bacterium. Its description in RNAcentral is "partial 16S ribosomal RNA". It matches the Rfam family "Bacterial small subunit ribosomal RNA", at positions 524 to 776 of the family's 1533-position model. The record is from RNAcentral.